This 253-nucleotide ribosomal RNA is filed under the name uncultured bacterium. Its description in RNAcentral is "partial 16S ribosomal RNA". It matches the Rfam family "Bacterial small subunit ribosomal RNA", at positions 524 to 776 of the family's 1533-position model. The record is from RNAcentral.
UACGUAGGGGGCUAGCGUUGUCCGGAUUUAUUGGGCGUAAAGAGCGUGUAGGCGGCCAGGUAGGUCUGCUGUGAAAACUCGAGGCUCAACCUCGAGACGUCGGCGGAAACCAUCUGGCUAGAGUCCGGAAGAGGAGAGUGGAAUUCCUGGUGUAGCGGUGAAAUGCGCAGAUAUCAGGAAGAACACCCGUGGCGAAGGCGGCUCGCUGGGCUGCUCCUGACGCUGAGGAGCGAAAGCAUGGGGAGCGAACAGG